AAGAAUUUCAGUUUUUAUCGUAUUUGGGGACUCUUAAUUUGACAACAACAAUGCAUUCGGACCAGAGAUGACGCGGGAGUAGGCGGGACUCUGGCCUUCUCAGCGGAAGUGACGACAGUGAUAGUUUGUUAGUCAUUUUAGCGGGAAUAUCCGUAUGGAAAGUAGUUGUAUUCACUCUGAGCAUUAAUUGUAAUGUGUAAGUAAAGUGUCAGUGGGCUGAUUGCAGCUACUGAAGAGAAGCGUGUUCUUGGAUAAAUAUCAAUGACGGCUUGAAUAAAAGCGGAGUGGAUCGCGCUCACGUAGGGCUAAGGGACAUGUAGCAGACUGCAACUAAAAACGAAAAAUAAUGCAACGGACGGUAUCUAGUUCUCCUUUGGCGCCUUCUGUAAAGGUAAAACUAAUAAAUGCCGGGUUUCACACAGCAGCAGAUUUAGUUGAUCUACUACCACUUCAGCUAUGUCAAGAAGCAGGCAUAUCGCAGGAGGAAGCGAAUGAGGUUUUGCAAGCCUUGCGGCACGAUUCCCGGCUCUGCCAGGAGAGGGCAGCAGAAGGAUGCAUCACGGCACUGGAGCUCCUGCACUGUGAGCAAAGCCAGGGCAGCCUAGUGACGUUCAGCUCCGAGCUCGACGCUGUCCUCGGAGGGGGGGUUUCCGUGGGCAAGACCACGGAGAUAUGUGGCACCCCCGGCAUUGGGAAGACCCAGCUGUGCAUUCAGCUGGCUGUAGACGUGCAGAUCCCUGUAUGCUUCGGGGGGCUUGGGGGGAAAGCUGUAUACAUCGACACAGAGGGCGGCUUCCUGGUUCAGAGAGCGGCGGAGAUGGCGCGGGCCGCGGCGGAACACUGCGCGCUGUUAGCCGAGGACACAGAACAGAGGGCAGCCUUGGAGGACUUCACCCUGGAGAAGAUCCUCUCCAACAUCUUCCUCAUACGCUGUCAUGAUUACGUGGAGCUGCUGGCUGAGACGUACCUCCUGCCCAACCUUCUACAGAAGUGCGCUGAGGUGAAAUUGGUUGUGAUUGACAGCAUUGCCUUCCCGUUCCGGCAUGACUUUGAAGACUUCUCUCAGAGGACCCGCCUCCUUAACAGCCUCGCCCAGCAGCUCAAUCAGCUAGCCAAUCAGCAGCAGACAGCAGUGGUGCUGACCAAUCAGAUGACAACCAAAGUCUCAAAUGGCCAGUCAAAGCUUGUGCCGGCUUUAGGUGAAAGUUGGGGCCAUGCAGCUACAGAGAAGCUGAUUCUACACUGGGAAGAAGAUAAAAGGUUGGCCUCUCUCUACAAGUCUCCCAGGCAAAUGGAAGCCACUGUCCAAUACCAAAUUACGGGUCAAGGAUUCAGGGAUGCCAGUGUGACGCUGGAGCUCCGCCCAUGUGACCCACCCCCCAGCGUGUCGUAUAAGCCCCACCCUCCAAGCCCAUCUGCCAGCGCUCCAGCAUGGAACUGCAGCAAGCGUCCUCGUGUAGAAGCACAGCACUCUUAAGAUGGCUCAGAGACGCCGCACGCCCUCUGUACCUUUAAAGUCAUAUCGGAGAGUGCAAUAACACCACAGACAUGUAUCGGGUUACCUUACAUAAAAUUCCUAAAUGAAGGGUGUGCUGUACUGCCUUAUGGGCAGUUACAAAAUGUAGCCCAUCUGUGGCCAUGGCGCUGUGUCAGCCAUCAGGACCUGUACUUCCUGCUUCUGCAUCAGAUAUCCUCUGCCCCUGCCUCAGUGGACAGUUAUGCAUCAGUGACCACAAAACUGCUCCUGAACCAGAUAUGAUGGUGGAAGACCAUUCUCAGUACAGAGCUGAUAAAGGCUGUGGGUGUUGUGCUGGUAUGAGUAUAUGAGACCCAGCAGGGACCCGGCAGUGUUGCUGAUAUGAAUGCAUGAGACCCAGUGGUGGUGUUAGUGUGAGUGUAUCAGACCCAGUGGUGUUGUUAAUAUGAGUGUAUCAGACCCACUAGUGUUGUUAGUAUGAGUGUAUCAGACCCAGUAGUGUUGCUGGGUUUUUUAUGUGUAUCAGUGUCUGUGUUGGGUUGAGAGUGGG
Electrophorus electricus (electric eel) is the source of this 2027-nucleotide RNA transcript. It is a transcript of the gene named RAD51 paralog C, with no coding region annotated. The record is from RefSeq and is a predicted model, not a curated record. NCBI's taxonomy places the organism in Eukaryota, Metazoa, Chordata, Actinopteri, Gymnotiformes, Gymnotidae.